Molecule: small nucleolar RNA, 84 nt
Filed under: Cephalotus follicularis
Lineage: Eukaryota; Viridiplantae; Streptophyta; Magnoliopsida; Oxalidales; Cephalotaceae
Source: RNAcentral
GAGCAGAUGAUGAAAGAUAUUAGUAGAAACUACUGAUAAUUCUAUGAAGAGUUGUAAAAUCGAGCUUUUUAAAGCUGAUGCUCA